Molecule: long non-coding RNA, 1199 nt
Organism: Daphnia carinata
Lineage: Eukaryota; Metazoa; Arthropoda; Branchiopoda; Diplostraca; Daphniidae
Exons: 3
Source: RefSeq, a predicted model, not a curated record
GGUGAGAUGGACUUUUGCCUACUAGCUGAGACGUUUAUCGAGUCACCCAGUCCUCCCAACAGAGCCCUGUGGGUGUAAACAGUUCGGCGUGAAAAGCUGUGCGUGAUUCGACCACCAUCUAGCGCUGAGUCAUGCUACCAAAGUUUCGUUCCGAAAUUCAAUUGGCUGUUAUUUUUUAUUGUUUAUUUUUUUUUAAUAGCGACAGGAAAGAUUUGUUUAAUUCAUUAUUUUGCUAGGAGGAAUCUCGACAACUAUCGUGAAACAACUGAGGGACUUUUGGGAGCAAGCGCUGAAAUAAUGACGCUGUCAAAUUCUCGAAGAUAUUCGAUACCAUUUUUUCUGUCGUUGCCUCGAACUCCUCGUGAUCUAUGACAAGUGUUCAACAUUAACCUCCAACCUUUAUUUUUAUUUAAGAAAAUGGAUUUUUCCCGCUAACCUGUCAUGAGCAAAUGGCCGGCCAGCUCGCACAGGGCGGGAUUCAUACCACCGUAAUCUUUCUUCGCUCCUGCAUUUGACGUGGGCGCAAACAUAUGGUGAAAGGUUCACGCGCCCAAAGGAAUACGCGUAAUGUGUCGUAAAUUAUUUCACGAUGGACGUCGUCGGAGGAGUCGGGCGAUAACCCCUUGAAGCGAGUGCCGCGUGUGAUGAACAUAUUGUGCGCCAUUUCGUUCUGCCUCAUGUAAUCGGCCAAGGUGAAUACGUGUCUGUGUUACGAAACAAGUAGGACACCAUGGCUCACUUGCUCAUCCGUAAAAAAAAAUUAAAUUUACCUGGCCAGUUGAGUAGGAUCAUUGUCAAGUUGAAAAGCAAAUCCUUUGGCUGGGUAAUCCUUCAACGUAAAGCAAGGACCAACAAUGUGUUCAACUGGCUGGAAACAGAAACAGUUUAUUCCAAAAGGACCAGGUAGUACAGGUGGUAAUGUUGGUGAUUAAUGGACGCGCAGCCUCCAGGACUACUAAAUCCGGCUUUGAAACGACUUGAACCGCAAUAGAAAAACAGUUUCAGAAAUGGUGAAAGUAUUGUUAUAAAAUUCCGUAGCUUGCUUACGGGUCAGCGCUGCGGAGAACUGUUGUUAGCAAGAGUUCCAGUCCGUAAAGUGUCAUACGUUGGGGGAUGUGUUGCGACACUCUUGGAACUAGCAGGCAACUACCAAAUUCAAGUGGACUCAUGUUGAUGAUUAGAAACGUAUCAACCUCGCU